GAUGAACGCUGGCGGCGUGCCUAAUACAUGCAAGUCGAGCGAACAGAUAAGGAGCUUGCUCCUUUGACGUUAGCGGCGGACGGGUGAGUAACACGUGGGUAACCUACCUAUAAGACUGGAAUAACUCCGGGAAACCGGGGCUAAUGCAGGAUAACAUGUUGAACCGCAUGGUUCUACAGUGAAAGGCGGCUUUGCUGUCACUUAUAGAUGGACCCGCGCCGUAUUAGCUAGUUGGUGAGGUAACGGCUCACCAAGGCAACGAUACGUAGCCGACCUGAGAGGGUGAUCGGCCACACUGGAACUGAGACACGGUCCAGACUCCUACGGGAGGCAGCAGUAGGGAAUCUUCCGCAAUGGGCGAAAGCCUGACGGAGCAACGCCGCGUGAGUGAUGAAGGUCUUCGGAUCGUAAAACUCUGUUAUUAGGGAAGAACAAAUGCGUAAGUAACUGUGCGCGUCUUGACGGUACCCAAUCAGAAAGCCACGGCUAACUACGUG
This 497-nucleotide ribosomal RNA is filed under the name uncultured bacterium. RNAcentral describes it as "partial 16S ribosomal RNA". It matches the Rfam family "Bacterial small subunit ribosomal RNA", at positions 28 to 507 of the family's 1533-position model. The record is from RNAcentral.